CUACGGAGGGUCCGAGCGUUAUCCGGAAUCAUUGGGUUUAAAGGGUCCGUAGGCGGGAAUCUAAGUCAGUGGUGAAAUCUUGCAGCUCAACUGUAAAAUUGCCAUUGAUACUGGAUUUCUUGAAUUAGUGUGAAGUGGUUAGAAUGUGUAGUGUAGCGGUGAAAUGCAUAGAUAUUACACAGAAUACCAAUUGCGAAGGCAGAUCACUAACACUAUAUUGACGCUAAGGGACGAAAGCGUGGGGAGCGAACAGGAUUAGAAACCCGGGUAGUCC
RNAcentral lists this ribosomal RNA (274 nucleotides) under uncultured bacterium. Its description in RNAcentral is "partial 16S ribosomal RNA". It matches the Rfam family "Bacterial small subunit ribosomal RNA", at positions 523 to 796 of the family's 1533-position model. The record is from RNAcentral.